CAUUGAAACACCGGUUCUUGUACAAUCACUGAAGUUAAGCAAUGUUGAGCCUGGUCAGUACCUAGAUGGGUGACCACUUGAGAAUAGCAGGUGCUGUAAG
This 100-nucleotide ribosomal RNA is filed under the name Acanthosepion pharaonis. Lineage: Eukaryota; Metazoa; Mollusca; Cephalopoda; Sepiida; Sepiidae. The record is from RNAcentral.